This 233-nucleotide ribosomal RNA is filed under the name uncultured bacterium. RNAcentral's name for it is "partial 16S ribosomal RNA". It matches the Rfam family "Bacterial small subunit ribosomal RNA", at positions 28 to 260 of the family's 1533-position model. The record is from RNAcentral.
GACGAACGCUGGCGGCGUGCUUAACACAUGCAAGUCGAGCGGUAAGGCCCUUUCGGGGUACACGAGCGGCGAACGGGUGAGUAACACGUGGGUGACCUGCCCUCAGCUCUGGGAGUAAGCCUCGGGAAACGUAGGUCGUAAUACUGGAUAUGACUCCACGGUGCAUGUCGUGGGUGGAAAGCCUUGUGCGGCUGAGGAUGGGCCCGCGGCCUAUCAGCUUGUUGGUGGGGGUG